Molecule: ribosomal RNA, 524 nt
Filed under: uncultured bacterium
Lineage: Bacteria
Description: partial 16S ribosomal RNA
Rfam family: Bacterial small subunit ribosomal RNA
Source: RNAcentral
GACGAACGCUGGCGGCGUGCCUAAUACAUGCAAGUCGAGCGCAGGAAACUGACGGAACUCUUCGGAGGGAAGGCAGUGGAAUGAGCGGCGGACGGGUGAGUAACACGUAAGGAACCUGCCUCAAGGAUUGGGAUAACUCCGAGAAAUCGGAGCUAAUACCGGAUAGUUCAACGGACCGCAUGGUCCGCUGAUGAAAGGCGCUCCGGCGUCACCUUGAGAUGGCCUUGCGGUGCAUUAGCUAGUUGGUGGGGUAACGGCCCACCAAGGCGACGAUGCAUAGCCGACCUGAGAGGGUGAUCGGCCACACUGGGACUGAGACACGGCCCAGACUCCUACGGGAGGCAGCAGUAGGGAAUCUUCCACAAUGGACGAAAGUCUGAUGGAGCAACGCCGCGUGAGUGAUGAAGGUUUUCGGAUCGUAAAACUCUGUUGUAAGGGAAGAACACGUACGAGAGGAAAUGCUCGUACCUUGACGGUACCUUACGAGAAAGCCACGGCUAACUACGUGCCAGCCGCCGCAGUAA